Molecule: long non-coding RNA, 316 nt
Filed under: Pan troglodytes (chimpanzee)
Lineage: Eukaryota; Metazoa; Chordata; Mammalia; Primates; Hominidae
Description: long non-coding RNA NONPTRT002053
Source: RNAcentral
AUGAAGGAAGUCUUUUCAAAACAAGAUGGAUCGCAAGUUCCUCUAAGACAUGGCAUGCAGGGUUCAUGUUUAGAUAGCAGUGCACACACUUGCUAUGCUGGGAGGGGUGUCACAAAGUAACUAGGUCAAAAUAAAGAUUAUAAACCACAAAAAGCGUGAUACCUGUGCUCUUGCCUUCAGCUCUACAUUUAACUCAGGACAAAUGCAUUCCAGCUCAGAGCAAGGUCCCUAGUGAUACCAGAGUGAUGAGGUUUAUUGAGGCUAUUUUUAAUACACUAACUGGCCUUUACUGACAGGCUACUGGGCUUGCUGUGUG